This 5713-nucleotide long non-coding RNA is filed under the name Neogobius melanostomus (round goby). Its description in RNAcentral is "lncRNA (ENSNMLG00000025283.1)". Lineage: Eukaryota; Metazoa; Chordata; Actinopteri; Gobiiformes; Gobiidae. The record is from RNAcentral.
CGGGGAUGUGUUUGGGCUGGUGUUUCAGUCCCAGUCCGGCUGUAAAACAUCUGUGAUUGAAAUAAACAAUAACAGUGAUCCUCCUACAGGCUGGAAACUAAAGGGUUAAACGUCUCGCACUGUGAUUGGUCUGAAGUUUGAGGAAGUGAUGUGUUUGAGGAAGUUGGAUCCGGAGAAGCCGGAGUUUGUUGGAAAAUGGCGCCUCUGUGUUUGGCCGUGUUCUUCGUGUUCUUUCUGCUGUUUCCUGCUUCCAUGGACUCUCCUCCAGUGUCAGGGAUGAGCUCCUGGACUGGACGGACCAUGAGCUGCAGUGUCGGAUGGAGGUCCCUGAAGGAGCUGAGGUCCUGCUCCUGGAGUGGACUCGAGUUGGGACGUCCGGUUAUGUCCUCCUGUACAGAGAUGGCAAACUGCGAAGUAUAUCUCAAAGCUCCACGUUCAAAAACCGAGUGGAGCUCCGAGAUCCAGACCCAGAGCUCAGGUCCGGAGACAUGUCCAUCACGCUGAAGAACAUCUCCACAGAGGACAGCGGAGAGUACAAGUGCCACGCUCGGAUUCAGACUUCUGAUGGACAAAGGAAGCCCCACUCCCAGGUCGUUCAUCUGAAACCAGUGGAGCAGAUUGUGGCUCAGUCUGGAGAGGACCAGGAGCUGCCCUGUGUCUUUCCCCUAGAGGGCGCUAAAGUCCUGGACCUGCGGUGGACUCGACAGGGCUCAGGCGGUCACGUCCUCUGGUACAAAGACGACAAACUGCAAGACGAACAUCAGAAUCAAACGUUUACAAACCGAGUGAAGCUCCGAGACCCAGAGCUCAGGUCUGGGAACAUCUCGCUGAAGAACAUCUCCACAGAGGACAGCGGGUGGUUCAAGUGUGAGGCUCGGUUUGAGACCAAAGACGCACGACAGGGGGAGGUGAUUCAGUCUGUUUAUCUGACGCUGAAACCAGAGACGGAGCCUACAGUCAAAGGACCCGGCUGGCCUGUUCAUGUUGUUUGGGUGACUCUGCUGCUGAUUGCUGCUGUCUGUGUCCCUACUUUCUAUUUCCUGUGGGAGUGCAACAAACAAAAGUGUCAGACCGGGUGUGGACCUGAGCUCGUUCAGCCUGAGGAGAAUCCUGUGGGAGAAGCAGAACGAACCUCCUCCAAAGGUCUCGCUUUACCUCAGUCAAAGCUGAAUUCUCUGGGCAGGAAGGACUCGGCUGGUGAGUCUCUCCUGGACGACUCAAAGACUUUCCCCCUGUGACGAUUCAUGAAGACGACACGUCAGCACUUUUAUCUGAGUUAAAUUUGACCAAGCAGCUUUGAAUUGUAUUGGGUUUACAGGUUGACCGAUAUCUGAGCCAUCUGAUGUAUCGGGCCGAUAUUUGAGUAUUUUAGAAUAUAAUUUUAUUGACAGAUCUAAAGGCCGAUAUCUCCAGAACCAAAGGUGAUUGAGCCUUCCCGUUUGAGUUGGAAAGAGCUCGGUCAGAGGCGGUAACUAUGGUGAUUGUCAAAAAGCAGAUUCUAGUCUCAAGGGCUCAUUUACUAAGUGUUUGCUCAAGUGCAGAAGUGGAUCAUCUGCAGAGUGAAUAAUGCAUUUUCCACUUACGCAGCAUUGUCUCAUUUACAUCAAGGAUUUGGGGCCCUACAUGCAUCAUACAAAGACAGAUAAAGUCCAACAUGCCUCUGAAAUAGCAUAUUUUAUUUUUGAGUAUUUCUGAGUUGUUUAUAUUAUUGUGGAGCCGAGGAUAUUUAGUGAGAAAAGUCCAGUAAUCCUUUUUUACAUUUGUUUAUUAAUUGAAAUCAUUGAUAAAUGAUGUUUAACGUCUCAUUUGCAAGAGAAAUGAAAAUUAACUAAUAAUAAAGCGCCCCCUGCUGUCACUUUUCAACACUGACACAGUUUACAGUUUAGAAGCUUCAUUAUUACAGAUGAGACAUGUGGAAAAAAUCGUCCAUAUCAGUCGACCUCUAUAUUAGACCUGGAAUAUGAAUAAGUGAAGAGGUGUGAACCUAUGGAAUGACUUAAAUGAUGACUUAAAAAACGCCUCUAACUUACAACUAUUUAAAAAGCUUUGUAAGAUAAAUGUGAUUAAGGAAUACGCAAAAGAACGUAAAUCCUAAGUCCCAUGGGUUCAUUCUGUCCGAGUGCUUGUUGAACUUGGCUCAUAAAUGUGAUCACAUAAAGCUGCAGAAGAAAGUUCGCUCUGCACAAACCAACACUUUACUGCUACAACCACCAGUCAAUGUAUCGACAAACAAAACAGUAUAAUCAGAUCAUUACUGACAUAACCAUUACUCCUUUUAAUAGGUUUUGGUCAUACUAAAUUAAAAAUAGAAAGGAAACAAUUCAACAAUCAUGAUGCUGCUCUGUUGUUGCCAUUGACAUGGUCAUUACUAUUGCCACACACAAGAACCAAAGAGAAUUUGGGCCGAUGGGGUGAAUGGACCUGUUGGUUAGAGGGGCCCCCUCGCAAUGGGCCUAUUGACCCCUGUCUUUUAAUGCACCACACAGAAAGGGCUACAUACAGACAACUUUAUAGGUUAGCCAAGUGGGACAAAUCGUAUGGGGGCUCAACCCCCCCCCCCGACUGGUCCACACCCUGGCUUUUUAAUGCACUACACAGACUAGGGCACAUACACCAACCAUGAGAUAAUGCUUAUCCAAAUAUAGUUAUAAAGAUGGUAAAUGUCAACAAGAAAGCAACAAGGAAUUAAAAAAACCCUUUCAUAAUAAAAACUUUCAUAAUAAAAACGUUCAUAAUAACUAAAUCAACUGGCCUAAUGGUUCAUCAGUAAUGAUUAGUAUUAUACACCACACAGAUACUCGCACCAUAUUGAUGCUCACCGAUAACCUGAACGGUUCAAUGCUUCCUUUAUGUAAAUAUACAAUGUACGGUAAAAUGUCCAUAUGAUCCUGUUGUAUCGCUGAAAGAAGAACUGAAUGUAAUUCAUAGGCCAGUGCUCGCAUGUUACUGUGUGUAUACUUACGUAUGGAAACAAAAUAAUUCUGAAUCGUCUUGCUGUUGAAAACAAAACAAAAAAGCCUAAAAGUUACCACUGAAUAUGUAAAGCACGAGGGUGAUUAAUAAUGAGGAAUGAGGGAUAGGCACACAUAAGCUCGGCUUCAGCCUACUCCUUUUGAGCUUUACUGUGAUUAAAUGUUUAAUUACUGUGAAAAUAUGAAUAUAAACAGCUCAAUCAAUCAAUCAAUCAGUCAAAUAUGAAUAUCUCUACUUUUAUUCUACCAGAUUUUACCAAAGGUUUCAGUCGGAGAAUAUUUAAAGGAGACCAAACUGUGAAUGAGCUUUUUGUAAAUAAAGAAGAUCAAGUCACACGGUGGAGUUACUUUGGGUUUGUGGUGAAACUGUAAUGUUCGAUAAUGUCUUUCGCACUGAUUUAGUUGUUUUAUGACAGUUUUUAAUUUCAUUACAUAAGACACUUGUACUUGUGCGGACGGUGAGAGAGAGAAUAUGUGAAUGUUAUUGUUACUGUCAGCUCGCUUUUAAAUGACAUGAAAGUAAGAGGUUUUUCUGUAAUAUUUCCAAAUGAAAGAUUUUUUUCUGAUACGUUUCACUGAAAGGUUUGAAUUGUAAUGUAUUGUGAGCCAGUUGACAUGAAUGAAUGGAUACAUAAAUGUUUUCUGCAUUACAUUUCAAAAAUAAACAUAUGGAGAAAAAACUUCCCUAAUAUUGUAUCUAUUUAUUGAAAAAGGGACAAUAGAUUAAUCAACAUUACACAGAAUGAGCUCAUGUUAAGGCAGGCUUAAAAUAGACGACUAUUUACAAACCCUGUACAAUAUCACUACAACAUGCAGUAUAUUACAGACGUACAUGAACAAAGCAAAGUAUAUUUACACUUAGUGGCUUAUUUUAAAUGAAUGAGGGAGACUCUUGUUCCACUGUUGGGACGCUCGGUAAGAAGAGACGGCCAGAUAAAGUUUUUCUUUUUUUUUAUGUGUACUGUUUUUACCCUCACCCAUUAUCUUCCACCUGCCCAUCACAUUACACCAGUCCAUACUGUACUGUUUUAAUUAUAUCAUAUUAACAUUGCUUUUUAGCGUAUCCACAUACCUGUAUAUCAGUGCAAAGCAGCCACUUAAGCGUCCAAUGACCCGCGAUGUGAUUAAUGUUAUAAAACAAGUGAAUGAAUAAAUCAUGAUUUGCCCCACACAUUCUCUACACCAGGCCUUCCCAAGCUCCAGAGUCAUUUGUUCCAGACCCUGGCAGCGGUGAUAUAAUUGCCGUAGCAGUAAGCCGGUUACAUUCUCAUAAGUGCAGUUGCAGCUUUGGCCUGUAGGGGCAGCGUAUAAAGAGGCACAGUCUGCUGAUGGCACGACUCUUUAAACACAGCUCCUGAGGUCCCGUAAAGAUUAUUGGCUUGUAUCAGAAUCACUGAGUAAAUAUAAUAUUAUGUUGAAUAUGUUUUCAAUGCCAUAAACUGAUCAUAGAGCUGUAACUGUAUAUAGGCCUACAUGUUUUUGUUUUUUUCCUGGUGUUGAAGACAUUGGAAAACCAAAAGCUCUUAUUUGAAACAUAGUGAUAUAAAACAAUCUAACUUCACUGACUCAGCCAGACGUUUAGUUUGGGAAACAAUGGGAGCUUUUAAAAUGUUUAGUUGGUAAAAGAUAUUUUGGGAAAAGUGAAUGUGCACGAUCAGCCAUGAAUGUUAUAAAGAACUCCAAUCACAGCGUCUGGUUUAAAGUCGAGCCAGAGAAACUGCACUUGGUUAAGGCGGGGGUUAAGAGGUUAAAGUGCCCUGAAUCCCCAUAGCAGGACCGGUAUCACAAACAUCACUGGGAUUUGGAGACUUUAGUGUUUGACUUUAGACUGAGCCAUAACGCUAACUUACCUAAUCCUGCCACCUUAACCUUUCUGCCUCCUCUGGGUUCACAGCACAAUCAAAACCCUUCAGUUUCCUUUUGACAGGGACUGGGGGUGAAGUGAGUGAAGUGUCUUGCCAAAGGGCACAGCCGACACGUGAGCUCCUGAGUGCUACAGCGUGUCUAAAGUCAUUCCGGGCUGUGGUUCUGCUGACCCAGAUUCUGUCUCUUAAGCUUCAUGAGCACAGCCAGAGCCACAGAGGCCGUCCCGAACAGCGCCCCCCUGUCCAGGCUGCAGCGUGGCGUCUGUCGACCCCGGGGCCCGGUGUCUCCUCCGGACCCGCCCCACGCACGGCACUGGCCAGUGGCUCCGGCAGGAUGCUGUCUGCAGCCGGCCGCUCUCCAGACGGUUUCUCCUGAGCCCCAACCACCAGUUUCUCUGUGAACGAGAGAAACUCACAUCAGUGACUUUACAGCUUUUCAUCCGGAACCCAGUCUGGCUUUACCCAAAUCGAAAAGCUUCAAGAACAAAGCGUCGAAAACGAGGAUGAAAAUACAACAAAAACGUUACCAAAAAAGCAACGAAAAAGUGAUGAAUAAGCAAAUGAGGCGUUACUCAUUAGGCUGUAAACCUUUUAGAUUAAAGCUGAACUGGAGGAAAUGCGCUCGGUUUAGACUGGGGUAAGAGGUUUAAAUGAGGCUCAAAGUAAAAGUAGUUACUGAGACUAAAACCUGUGACUAAAAUCUGCAGAUGUUUCGGGCGACUCCUAAACUGAACAAGAAGUAAAAGACUAAACACAUGUUAAGCCUCGUAUCGUUUAAAAUCACUGCCAAUAAAUAGGGCAGUGAAAUCCCUCACAAACAGGGAAACAAUCAAAAAACACUGACAGACAAAGGGAUACUUCGGGAUUUUUGACAUU